Molecule: RNA transcript, 4379 nt
Organism: Oncorhynchus nerka (sockeye salmon)
Lineage: Eukaryota; Metazoa; Chordata; Actinopteri; Salmoniformes; Salmonidae
Exons: 5
Source: RefSeq, a predicted model, not a curated record
GGAAUGUUUUGUGUAUGGAAUGUUUUGUGUAUGGAAUGUUUUGUGUAUGGAAUGUUUUGUGUAUGGAAUGUUUUGUGUAUGGAAUGUUUUGUGUAUGGAAUGUUUUGUGUAUGGAAUGUUUUGUGUAUGGAAUGUUUUGUGUAUGGAUUUUUAUAGCAGGGCGCCUCUUAAAGGGGUUAUCUCUUGGGUUGCCAUGAAGUGGAUGCAGAUGAUAUACCUGAAGAAGGAGGUGAAGUGAUUGGUGAACGUUGACUGACCUGUAUAGUGGAUGGAGUAAGGAAACCCACUUCGUCCAUGGUAUUGUUUUUUGAUGAGUCGGGCUUUAUGAGAUAACCUGUAAGAGCUUUUGUGCAUGAGAAUAUCGUAUGCCAGUUGAGGUUAUAUGCUGCAACUGUGGUGGUGAGCAUGCGCCUGAGUCCCUGGAUAGCCUUGUUAGUGUGAAGGAGACAGAGGUUGUUUGGAGCUGGUGAGAAGAGUGGAAGAAGCGAGUGGCGUUGAAGGCGUUAUGGUAAUUGAGACUGCACCAAUGAUUGAGGAUCCUGAUAUAUUUAAUGAUGGUAUUUAUGAAUAGACAAAGACAUCAAUCACGUGACACCAUUCAUUCCUAUGUGAAAACUUAAUAGCACAUUGAAGCCAAAUUAAGUGAGUUAAGAUGGCAUCUCAUGGAGAAAUAACAUACGCAGUUUGAGCUACUCCAGGAAGUGAUGUUCCAGGCUAGCUCUGUGCUGCCUCCUCUCAUUGAGUAAUGUUGCUUUCAAGACAACUGGGAACUCAAAAAAGGCCGGAAAGUCUGAGAUCUAGAAAGAUGUCGGAAGUUUCCGAUUUCAGAGUUUCCAGUCGUUUUGAACAUGGCAUACAUAACUCAAGUUGUGAAGGCCGUCCGGGGUGAUGCAGGCUGCCAUUAGCAACUAAAUUAUCCUUAUAACUUCUUCUGUGUGUAAUUCUAAAAUAAUCGGUUCAAAGACAUACAUCGGGUGUAUUACUGGUACCACGAGUGUCCUCUAAACAUUUUUUUACUCGAAGAUUGACAUUUUUCCAUUCACUAUUUUGGGCGAUCCUGUUUUCUGCUAACAAUGCAUGCAGUACCACGGUCGGCCUUGAACUUCCGUGACUUCAAUGAGAGGGCAGUCAUUCUCCCCUGGAUAUAUUACAUGUGAAAAGGGUAGACUUUGUAGCAUUUAUUGCAAUGCUCAUAAACUGCACAGCACAACAGAAGAAACAACCGGAGAAAAUGUGCAGCAGAACGCUUUUUGGGUUGAGCCUGUGUAGGGAUGUCUUGAAUUGGAAUGUGACUGAAGGAGUGGAAUGUUUAUGAAUGUCUCUAUUUUUGUAUUUUGGGUGAUGUCGUUUUUUCGCCCCUUUCAUACAAUGGGUAUGUUUUCUAUCGUUUACCACCCGUACCGUAGGUGGCAGAAUGCACCUCUAACACUUAUUUCCAGACCCCCUAAUACCAUAGUAGAAGAAGAAUUGAAUGCACACUUUACGAUUAGAUUGAAAAACUCGGGGAUAUUACAAAUAUUGCCGCGUAAGUACGUAGGCAGAUUGAGUUGUCAUGUUCGUGAGGAAGACAUCCAUAUGUGUUUAGUGGUUGCUGGAGGUUGAUCUGAAGAAUGAGUAAGUUAAGGUGUUAGCUAGCUAACAUGGGCGAAAUGGCGACUGCUGACUGUAGUAGCUAGAUUGUCAGCUGUUUGUUGUUGACAUUUAGCCAACACAGUAGACCUACUGACCCGUCUUCAGCAUUGCUCCGUCUUCUCGCUCAUGCUCGAUCUAGUGUUGCAGGUACGGCUUUGUGGAGUUCGAUGUGACGCCGACGGAGAACGAGUCAUCAUUGAACACGCUCGUGGUGGUGGGGGUUAUAGUUGGCGGAACUGGACGUAAGGCCACUGCGGGCAUAAGUUCGUAUCCCUUGAGGCUAAGAUGACUGGUUAAGAUGACUGCCUGUCCCGUUUUGCCUUGGCUUUCACCUUAAUGUGUGUGUGACCUUUGACGUAUGACCUCUUGGUUGACCUUACCAGAAGCCAUGAUGACUGCAGCCUUUUGCCAAUAGACAAAGGUGAUGACGGUAGUGGUUACAGCAGCCGAAGCCCCACUGGCUGAGAUAUGUAUUGGCCACCUGUACGCACAGAGUACCGCCUUAUUGUGGACAGCCUCUCCAGUCGCUGCAGCUGGCAGGACCUAAAGGACUUCAUGCGCCAAGCUGAUUGAGGUGACAUAUGCCGACACUCAUAAGGAGUGGCCCAAUGAAGGGGUGAUUGAGUUCUGCUCCCGCUCGGACAUGAGGGCCCUGGACAUGCUGGAUGGCACCAAAAUCAACGGGAGGAAGAUCUGCCUGGUGGAGGACAAGCCUUGCCACCGGCGCUCCUACUCUGGCAGCUGCUCCUGGUCAGGAUAGUCCUGGGCCUACCACAUAAGGCAGCCGUUGGGUCCUUAUGGCCCUCCUGUGGAAGUGGUGAUAUGUUUAAUUUGCUGUUUUUCUACUACAAAAGCUGAUAAGUUAUCCAGGCUUACAAUGUGUUUGAUCUCCCAGGUCUCAUAGCAGAUGUCACUUUCGCAGCAGGAGCAGAAGUUUUGGCAGCCACUCCAGGUCUCGCUUACGGUCACACUCGUAGUACACACCGCUCUCGAUCCAGGUCCAACCAGAAAUCACGUUCUAGAUCCGGGAAUUCCCACCUCUCCAAGUCACUCAAAUCCCGUUCCAAGUCCCGCUCACGUUCUCGCACCAGGAAGUCAUGUUCUCACUCCCACAAGUCUCGUAGCUGCUCAGUGAGCCUCAAAUCCAGCUCUCACUCCGACGCCCGUAUGUCUCGCUCCAAGAGCUAGUCUAAAGUCUAGUCUGAGCAGGAAUCCAGAAGCCACUCCAAAGAGAAGUCUGUCAGCAAGAAGUCCUAGAGUCGCUCCCCGACCCCCACAGAGAAUGGAAACAGAGCGUGCCCAGUCCGCCUCCAAGUCUCCCUCCCCACAAGAAGACCAUCCUAAAUCGAAGUACCCCGCCAUGCACUCAGUCUCUCGCUCCCCCUCAUGCUCUAAAUCCUUCUCCCGCUCCCGAUCCAGGUUGACUUCCAAAAAUGUAAUUGCACUUGUUUUAGUAGGAAGUAUGGAAGAUGGUUUUAAAAUAAUUUACAAAUCGAAUGCAGUGUUUCAAUUUGCCCCACUAUGAGCAUUUGGUUUUAUUGAAGUUGGGAAUGUAUUGCUUUUUAACAUUGUUUUUAACUUUGCAUGAGAACCAGGAUGAAAGAUUGUAGAUUGCUGUGGAACGCAUUGUAGAGGAAUUGUUCUCAAUUUCCUUAUCUGUAUGAGAUUGCUUAUGCUUCAUGUUAUAGUUACUGGUUGAUGUUUGUUUCAAGAGGAAAUUAUUGAUUCUUAUUUGUAAUCUCUUCCUUGCCAUCUUCUGCAUUGCUUUGAAACUCUCCUUCCAGACCCACAUCAAACAUCUCCAAUCCAAAGUUAAAUCUAGAAUUGGCUUCCUAUUUCGCAACAAAGCAUCCUUCACUCAUGCUGCCAAACAUACCCUUGUAAAACUGACCAUCCUACCAAUCCUCGACUUCGGCGAUGUCAUUUACAAAAUAGCCUCCAAUACCCUACUCAACAAAUUGGAUGCAGUUUAUCACAGUGUCAUCCGUUUUGUCACCAAAGCCCCAUAUACUACCCACCAUUGCGACCUGUACGCUCUCGUUGGCUGGCCCUCGCUUCAUACUCGUCGCCAAACCCACUGGCUCCAUGUCAUCUACAAGACCCUGCUAGGUAAAGUCCCCCCUUAUCUCAGCUCGCUGGUCACCAUAGCAUCUCCCACCUGUAGCACACGCUCCAGCAGGUAUAUCUCUCUGGUCACCCCCAAAACCAAUUCUUUCUUUGGCCGCCUCUCCUUCCAGUUCUCUGCUGCCAAUGACUGGAACGAACUACAAAAAUCUCUGAAACUGGAAACACUUAUCUCCCUCACUAGCUUUAAGCACCAACUGUCAGAGCAGCUCACUGUACCUGUACAUAGCCCACCUAUAAUUUAGCCCAAACAACUACCUCUUUCCCUACUGUAUUUAUUUAGCUCCUUUGCACCCCAUUAUUUUUUAUUUCUACUUUGCACAUUCUUCCACUGCAAAUCUACCAUUCCAGUGUUUUACUUGCUAUAUUGUAUUUACUUUGCCACCAUGGCCUUUUUUUGCCUUUACCUCCCUUAUCUCACCUCAUUUGCUCACAUCGUAUAUAGACUUGUUUCUACUGUAUUAUUGACUGUAUGUUUGUUUUACUCCAUGUGUAACUCUGUGUUGUUGUAUGUGUCGAACUGCUUUGCUUUAUCUUGGCCAGGUCGCAAUUGUAAAUGAGAACUUGUUCUCAACUUGCCUACCUGGUUAAAUAAAGGUGAAAUAAAAUAAAUACAAAAUACA